This 2453-nucleotide ribosomal RNA is filed under the name Escherichia coli. Its description in RNAcentral is "partial 23S ribosomal RNA". It matches the Rfam family "Bacterial large subunit ribosomal RNA", at positions 165 to 2640 of the family's 2925-position model. The record is from RNAcentral. Lineage: Bacteria; Pseudomonadati; Pseudomonadota; Gammaproteobacteria; Enterobacterales; Enterobacteriaceae.
CAUAGGUUAAUGAGGCGAACCGGGGGAACUGAAACAUCUAAGUACCCCGAGGAAAAGAAAUCAACCGAGAUUCCCCCAGUAGCGGCGAGCGAACGGGGAGCAGCCCAGAGCCUGAAUCAGUGUGUGUGUUAGUGGAAGCGUCUGGAAAGGCGCGCGAUACAGGGUGACAGCCCCGUACACAAAAAUGCACAUGCUGUGAGCUCGAUGAGUAGGGCGGGACACGUGGUAUCCUGUCUGAAUAUGGGGGGACCAUCCUCCAAGGCUAAAUACUCCUGACUGACCGAUAGUGAACCAGUACCGUGAGGGAAAGGCGAAAAGAACCCCGGCGAGGGGAGUGAAAAAGAACCUGAAACCGUGUACGUACAAGCAGUGGGAGCACAGAGCAAUCUGUGUGACUGCGUACCUUUUGUAUAAUGGGUCAGCGACUUAUAUUCUGUAGCAAGGUUAACCGAAUAGGGGAGCCGAAGGGAAACCGAGUCUUAACUGGGCGUUAAGUUGCAGGGUAUAGACCCGAAACCCGGUGAUCUAGCCAUGGGCAGGUUGAAGGUUGGGUAACACUAACUGGAGGACCGAACCGACUAAUGUUGAAAAAUUAGCGGAUGACUUGUGGCUGGGGGUGAAAGGCCAAUCAAACCGGGAGAUAGCUGGUUCUCCCCGAAAGCUAUUUAGGUAGCGCCUCGUGAAUUCAUCUCCGGGGGUAGAGCACUGUUUCGGCAAGGGGGUCAUCCCGACUUACCAACCCGAUGCAAACUGCGAAUACCGGAGAAUGUUAUCACGGGAGACACACGGCGGGUGCUAACGUCCGUCGUGAAGAGGGAAACAACCCAGACCGCCAGCUAAGGUCCCAAAGUCAUGGUUAAGUGGGAAACGAUGUGGGAAGGCCCAGACAGCCAGGAUGUUGGCUUAGAAGCAGCCAUCAUUUAAAGAAAGCGUAAUAGCUCACUGGUCGAGUCGGCCUGCGCGGAAGAUGUAACGGGGCUAAACCAUGCACCGAAGCUGCGGCAGCGACGCUGAUGCGUUGUUGGGUAGGGGAGCGUUCUGUAAGCCUGCGAAGGUGUGCUGUGAGGCAUGCUGGAGGUAUCAGAAGUGCGAAUGCUGACAUAAGUAACGAUAAAGCGGGUGAAAAGCCCGCUCGCCGGAAGACCAAGGGUUCCUGUCCAACGUUAAUCGGGGCAGGGUGAGUCGACCCCUAAGGCGAGGCCGAAAGGCGUAGUCGAUGGGAAACAGGUUAAUAUUCCUGUACUUGGUGUUACUGCGAAGGGGGGACGGAGAAGGCUAUGUUGGCCGGGCGACGGUUGUCCCGGUUUAAGCGUGUAGGCUGGUUUUCCAGGCAAAUCCGGAAAAUCAAGGCUGAGGCGUGAUGACGAGGCACUACGGUGCUGAAGCAACAAAUGCCCUGCUUCCAGGAAAAGCCUCUAAGCAUCAGGUAACAUCAAAUCGUACCCCAAACCGACACAGGUGGUCAGGUAGAGAAUACCAAGGCGCUUGAGAGAACUCGGGUGAAGGAACUAGGCAAAAUGGUGCCGUAACUUCGGGAGAAGGCACGCUGAUACGUAGGUGAAGUCCCUCGCGGAUGGAGCUGAAAUCAGUCGAAGAUACCAGCUGGCUGCAACUGUUUAUUAAAAACACAGCACUGUGCAAACACGAAAGUGGACGUAUACGGUGUGACGCCUGCCCGGUGCCGGAAGGUUAAUUGAUGGGGUCAGCGCAAGCGAAGCUCUUGAUCGAAGCCCCGGUAAACGGCGGCCGUAACUAUAACGGUCCUAAGGUAGCGAAAUUCCUUGUCGGGUAAGUUCCGACCUGCACGAAUGGCGUAAUGAUGGCCAGGCUGUCUCCACCCGAGACUCAGUGAAAUUGAACUCGCUGUGAAGAUGCAGUGUACCCGCGGCAAGACGGAAAGACCCCGUGAACCUUUACUAUAGCUUGACACUGAACAUUGAGCCUUGAUGUGUAGGAUAGGUGGGAGGCUUUGAAGUGUGGACGCCAGUCUGCAUGGAGCCGACCUUGAAAUACCACCCUUUAAUGUUUGAUGUUCUAACGUUGACCCGUAAUCCGGGUUGCGGACAGUGUCUGGUGGGUAGUUUGACUGGGGCGGUCUCCUCCUAAAGAGUAACGGAGGAGCACGAAGGUUGGCUAAUCCUGGUCGGACAUCAGGAGGUUAGUGCAAUGGCAUAAGCCAGCUUGACUGCGAGCGUGACGGCGCGAGCAGGUGCGAAAGCAGGUCAUAGUGAUCCGGUGGUUCUGAAUGGAAGGGCCAUCGCUCAACGGAUAAAAGGUACUCCGGGGAUAACAGGCUGAUACCGCCCAAGAGUUCAUAUCGACGGCGGUGUUUGGCACCUCGAUGUCGGCUCAUCACAUCCUGGGGCUGAAGUAGGUCCCAAGGGUAUGGCUGUUCGCCAUUUAAAGUGGUACGCGAGCUGGGUUUAGAACGUCGUGAGACAGUUCGGUCCCUA